Non-coding RNA from Phasianus colchicus (ring-necked pheasant), 276 nucleotides. The record is from RefSeq and is a predicted model, not a curated record. Lineage: Eukaryota; Metazoa; Chordata; Aves; Galliformes; Phasianidae.
CCGUCGUGCGCGCACGCCGCCUGCGGGGGCGAGGCCUGCCCCGAAUGUCUGUGUGAGGCUUCAACGUGUCUGACGCACCGUGAUGGCACGCAUCCUCUGUGUUCGGAACCGUUGCUGAACAGAUGGGAAAUGGAAGCACGGAAAGAUGAAGCAGUUUGCGAGAGCACUGCCAGGAUCAAGACCCUGCACGAACAAUUCCCCAUCGAUUCAGAAACAGGACUUUUAGGUCAGCUACACCAUUUUUGUACACUAGUAGAAUGGAAAGUUCUGACACUA